AAAGCGUAACAAGGUCUCCGUAGGUGAACCUGCGGAGGGAUCAUUACAUAAUAACCAGGCGGGCUGGACACCCCCCGCUGGGCACUGCUUCACGGCGUGCGCGGCGGGGCCGGCCCUGCUGAAUUAUUCACCCGUGUCUUUUGCGUACUUCUUGUUUCCUGGGUGGGCUCGCCCGCCCUCAGGACCAACCACAAACCUUUUGCAAUAGCAAUCAGCGUCAGUAACAACGUAAUUAAUUACAACUUUCAACAACGGAUCUCUUGGUUCUGGCAUCGAUGAAGAACGCAGCGAAAUGCGAUACGUAGUGUGAAUUGCAGAAUUCAGUGAAUCAUCGAAUCUUUGAACGCACAUUGCGCCCUUUGGUAUUCCAAAGGGCAUGCCUGUUCGAGCGUCAUUUGUACCCUCAAGCUUUGCUUGGUGUUGGGCGUCUUUUGUCUCCAGUUCGCUGGAGACUCGCCUUAAAGUCAUUGGCAGCCGGCCUACUGGUUUCGGAGCGCAGCACAAGUCGCGCUCUUUGCCAGCCAAGGUCAGCGUCCAGCAAGCCUUUUUUUCAACCUUUGACCUCGGAUCAGGUAGGGAUACCCGCUGAACUUAAGCAUAUCAAUAAGCGGAGGCACAAGAAACCAACCGGGAUUGCCCUAGUAACGG
Molecule: ribosomal RNA, 648 nt
Filed under: Alternaria sp. B28B
Lineage: Eukaryota; Fungi; Ascomycota; Dothideomycetes; Pleosporales; Pleosporaceae
Description: eukaryotic LSU rRNA
Rfam family: 5.8S ribosomal RNA (bases 241-394)
Source: RNAcentral